Molecule: ribosomal RNA, 387 nt
Filed under: Triticum aestivum (bread wheat)
Lineage: Eukaryota; Viridiplantae; Streptophyta; Magnoliopsida; Poales; Poaceae
Description: partial small subunit ribosomal RNA
Source: RNAcentral
AUGGACCUGAGAGCUGAGAGCAUGCAGGGUGAUAUGUAUGAAGGAAAAAAGCCAGAGCAGCGCUUGGAUAAAAGUCAGUGUUGGAAUUUUUUUGGCAGAUGCGGAAAUCUUGGUAAAGGUAAGUUCGGUCUUUCACUCGCUCACCAUGUUUUUUUUGGUCUGCAUUAUUUUUCUAAACUACAUUUCAGGAGUGGCUAUAGUCAAUGCUUUCAUGUACAUGAUCGGUAUGAACUUUUCAUCAUAGGUUCAUCUCCUGAGAGAGCUAAGUUUCCUGUAGUAGUCUAUAAGGAAAGCUUGGACAUAUCUCUUUUCACACGCGAUCUUAUUUACUUGAAAAAUAAGUUAUAUACUCUGGGUAAUAAUUUGAUGAGUAGGCCAUUUCAAUAA